Long non-coding RNA from Trichechus manatus latirostris (Florida manatee), 396 nucleotides. RefSeq lists it as uncharacterized. NCBI's taxonomy places the organism in Eukaryota, Metazoa, Chordata, Mammalia, Sirenia, Trichechidae. The record is from RefSeq and is a predicted model, not a curated record. The transcript is spliced from 3 exons.
UAAGCAGAGAAGUGUCAUGAUCAGACGUGAGUUUCAGAAAGGACAUCAGGUUUGGAAAGGGCACACAGUAGACCCUCAAUGAAUACAUUUAAUGAACAACGGUGAACAAUUGAUUAAACGGUGAAGAAGACAAUGUCUGUAACUGGUUUGGAGGGGAGGCAAGAUGAGCAAUUAAGAGUCUCAAUGUUCAAGUGGUAGACUACAAGCAGUGCCCAGGUUAUGAACGAGAUCCGUGUCUAAGUUUGUCUUUAAAUCAGAUUUGCAGGUAAGUGAGAACAGGUACGUAUGGUUCUUAUUUAGCAUCAGUUAGUCAAAUGUUUGUCUUAGUAUAUAGUAUAUAUUUUACCUUUCUAUGCAUAUAAAACACUUAAGAAAUACUUCUAAACCUCACCAUGU